This 566-nucleotide ribosomal RNA is filed under the name uncultured bacterium. Its description in RNAcentral is "partial 16S ribosomal RNA". It matches the Rfam family "Bacterial small subunit ribosomal RNA", at positions 355 to 914 of the family's 1533-position model. The record is from RNAcentral.
UGGGGAAUUUUGGACAAUGGGGGAAACCCUGAUCCAGCCAUCCCGCGUGUGCGAUGAAGGCCUUCGGGUUGUAAAGCACUUUUGGCAGGAAAGAAACGUCGCGGGUUAAUACCCCGCGAAACUGACGGUACCUGCAGAAUAAGCACCGGCUAACUACGUGCCAGCAGCCGCGGUAAUACGUAGGGUGCAAGCGUUAAUCGGAAUUACUGGGCGUAAAGCGUGCGCAGGCGGUUCGGAAAGAAAGAUGUGAAAUCCCAGAGCUUAACUUUGGAACUGCAUUUUUAACUACCGGGCUAGAGUGUGUCAGAGGGAGGUGGAAUUCCGCGUGUAGCAGUGAAAUGCGUAGAUAUGCGGAGGAACACCGAUGGCGAAGGCAGCCUCCUGGGAUAACACUGACGCUCAUGCACGAAAGCGUGGGGAGCAAACAGGAUUAGAUACCCUGGUAGUCCACGCCCUAAACGAUGUCAACUAGCUGUUGGGGCCUUCGGGCCUUGGUAGCGCAGCUAACGCGUGAAGUUGACCGCCUGGGGAGUACGGUCGCAAGAUUAAAACUUAAAGGAAUUGAC